This is a long non-coding RNA of Orussus abietinus, 568 nucleotides long. RefSeq lists it as uncharacterized. NCBI's taxonomy places the organism in Eukaryota, Metazoa, Arthropoda, Insecta, Hymenoptera, Orussidae. The record is from RefSeq and is a predicted model, not a curated record. The transcript is spliced from 3 exons.
UUGAGAGAUAUUCAGAAACAGAGAUAUAGUUGAGUGUUAAUUAAUUUUAUACGUACACUUUUUGAGGUCGUUUUCGAACUCUUGAUAUGGCAUCUAACAAAUCGAUAAAGAAACACAGAAAAGUCAGUUGACAGACGCAGACUGUGAUUUCAUUAAUGGGAUCUGCUGAUGUGCCUGCGGAAAUUGUUCGUUUGCAAGAAAUAAAUAAAAUUCUUCAAAUUGAAAAUGCAAGAUUAAGAGCGCAUAUCAAUAGUGGAUCAAUUCAACAACUUACAGCUACAGAUGAAAAUGAAGUAGAGUUAACACAAAUGACAGAGACGAAUUCGCCAUCAGAAGAACGAAUAGCAAAAAUAUGAAUAGGAUGUUCAUGUAAGGGAUAUUGUCAAAGCAAACAAUGUGGUUGUGUGAAAAAAAAUUCUUCAUGUAACGAUUCCUGCAAGUGUAACAAAUCUGCAUGUCACAAUCAAAAUGAUCAAAGGAAGAAAUCAAAAGUAUUUAAAGAGCUUCGUACCUGUCUUUUAUCUUCCGAAGGCACACUGAGCAUUUUACCCCGACGUCUUGUUUGGAC